AAAGACUCAAUUUCUAGGUUUCCGUGUCCAACGUUUGACUGUCCGUCUUAUUUAAAAAAAUUAUGAAAAAAUUUAAAAAUAUAAGUCACACAUAAAGUAUUAAUCAUGUUUUAUCAUCUAACAACAAUAAAAAUACUAAUCAUAAAAAAAUUUCAUAUAAGACGGACAGUCAAACGUUGUACACAAAAACCCAGGAUUGAGUCUUUG
Molecule: non-coding RNA, 207 nt
Organism: Oryza glumipatula
Lineage: Eukaryota; Viridiplantae; Streptophyta; Magnoliopsida; Poales; Poaceae
Source: Rfam